RNAcentral lists this ribosomal RNA (494 nucleotides) under uncultured bacterium. RNAcentral's name for it is "partial 16S ribosomal RNA". It matches the Rfam family "Bacterial small subunit ribosomal RNA", at positions 28 to 507 of the family's 1533-position model. The record is from RNAcentral.
GACGAACGCUGGCGGCGUGCUUAACACAUGCAAGUCGAACGGAAAGGCCUGCUUUCCCUUGUGGAUUGCGGGUACUCGAGUGGCGAACGGGUGAGUAACACGUGAGUGAUCUGCCCCCAACUUGGGUAUAAGCCUGGGAAACUGGGUCUAAUUCCCGAUAGGACUGCAGGGUGGUGCCUGUGGUGGAAAACGAUUUUCUAGUGGUUGGGGAUGAGCUCGCGGCCUAUCAGCUUGUUGGUGGGGUAAUGGCCUACCAAGGCGGCGACGGGUAGCCGGCCUGGGGGGGGGGGCGGGCACAGUGGGACUGGGAUACGGGCCAGGAGCCUACGGGAGGCAGCAGUGGGGAAGAUUGCACAAUGGGCGGAAGCCUGAUGCAGCGACGCAGCGUGGGGGAUGACGGCCUUCGGGUUGUAAACUCCUUUCGACCGCGAGGAAGCCACCUGGUUGGAAGGGUGGUGACGGUAGUGGUAGAAGAAGCACCGGCUAACUACGUG